Molecule: ribosomal RNA, 440 nt
Filed under: uncultured bacterium
Lineage: Bacteria
Description: partial 16S ribosomal RNA
Rfam family: Bacterial small subunit ribosomal RNA
Source: RNAcentral
CAUACGGGAGGCAGCCGUAGGGACUAUUGCACAAUGGGGGAAACCCUGAAGCAGCAACGCCGCGUGGAGGAUGAAGGUAUUAGGAUUGUAAACUCCGUUGGUGAGAGAAGAUAAUGACGGUAUCACACGAAUAAGAACAGGCUAACAACGUACCAUCAGCCGCGAGAAUACGUAGGGGGCAAGCGUUACUCGUAAUACCAGGGCGGAAAGUGUGCGCAGGCGGGCGUGUAAGUCAGAUGUGAAAUCCUGUAGCUUAACUACAGAACUGCAUUUGAAACUAUGAGUCUAGAGUGUGGGAGAGGUAGGUGGAAUGCUUGGUGUAGGGGUAAAAUCCGUAGAUAUCAAGAGGAAUACUCAUUGCGAAGGCGACCUACUGGAACAUUACUGACGCUCAUGCACGAAAGCGUGGGGAGCAAACAGGAUUAGAUACCCCAGUAGUC